AAAGAAGAAAGACUGGGAUUCAGCUAGUCUUUCGAUUUUGCUUGUAUUUUAUCACUUGGUCUGGGAAGUAGCUCUUUUUAUGAUUGACACAAAGAGAACCAACCCCCAGGAGGUUAAAUGGUGGUCCGAUGGCAUGGUAACCGGGGCUUUUAUGCCAGUUCUCCCCUGCGGGACCGAGGCCCGGAGGAAAGGAGCUCUGCAGAACCCUUCCUCCGAUUCCCACCUCACAGGACCCAGCUCGGCGCAGGCGCUCCAUCGUGUUGGCUCGGUGCGUGACUGCAGGGCCUUGGAUGAUGCCUGCACUCUCUGCACCUGGGUGCGAGGUAAGAGGCUUUAACCGUCCCAGUGGCACCCUCUCGGUGAAUUCCCUUCUGACGCCUGCACGCGCUGUGCCAACAGGAAAAGAGGGCACCCAUCCCCUCCCGCCCCCUUAUUUCCCUAAGCAGAUGGCAUUCGUUCCCAUUGCUGCUGUGCCAAAGCAGCACAAACACCGUGACUAAAAGCCACACGAAGUUAUUCUCUGGUCCCCCUGGAGGUGAAGAGUCAGGGACCUGUUUCACGGGGCCGACGCUGAGGUGUCAGGAGGUGUCUGUGGAUGGCGCCUGCCUGCAGGACCGUCACAGGCUGGCAUUCCAAAGAACUCUGAAUCUAACCUCAGAAAAAGCCUUAGAAGAUGAGUCAGUCCUCAGCGACAUUCUCCUGGGGGCCUGGAGGAGAAAGUCACGCAGCACGUUAACCAGCAAAGCUAAUAAAGGACCCUGGAGACACCGCUCCCUCUCUGCAGGCCCUGCGCUCAGCCUCUCCGCUGGCCUGCCCAACCCUGGCCUGCCCGACGCUGCCCCGGCGGCCAAAUCCGUAAUUGUUCCCAGGGAAACGCUCGAGCAUCAGGAUUUAAUUUCGAUGCUACCCGCUCUCAGCAAAUCAGCAGGCUGUCGCUGAUGGGGGGAGGGAGGGAAGCUCUAUCCACUUCCUAAAUGCUUGGGUGUGUUCCUGGAUCUGUCUGCCACAGCAGGGCCCGGGAGGCAUCCGUGUCCAACCCCCCGCGGUCCCAUCUGGAGCACUUGUAGGACCAGCCCUCUGUCGCAAGAAGCAGUGGACGGGGAACUGUUCCAGGUCGAGGCUGACUCUGCAGAGGCCUCUGGUGAGGGGCGAGUCCUGCCUGGCAGCCCACCUGGCCUGGAGUUCUCGGGGCCAUCCCAGCUCCCCAGCAUCUCCUCAAAGGCCUUCCUUCUUCCUCCUCCCGAAUGAACAUCAUCAACCAAAAGCAUGAGCCUGGGUGAGAUCUCACUUGGUUCAGUAACUCUCGGCCAUCCGGUCCUGUUGCUCUGACGUGAUCCAGCCCUUUCUGAUUCGCUAAGCUGCGCUUGAAGGCUCUUAGCUGUGUGUGCAAGUCACCCCGCGUGUCUAAUAAUGACAGGAGUUGCAAUGUAGGCGUGUUUCCCGCUUUGUCGCACCUGAUCCUCACACCAACCCUGUGAACGUAUGUAAGGAGCGUGUAAAUCAUCACCGGAUUCUAACAGCAAGUAAGAAGCUAAACAAACUGAAAAUUCAACAACCCUCCCCAGAUUCAGCAGGAAAGCGGAGGUCACAGGGCAAAGUGCUGCCCUGGACAUCGGAGAAACAGACGCACAGACAGAGUCACAACUCACCGGAGCACAGAGACCUCCGUGGGAACCAGCAGCAGCGGAGGGAAACCCGGACUCUAGUGGACAGGUUGCUGGGGCUCAGCGCGGGCGAGUCUGAGUGCCAGGGGAUCCGAGUGCUUUUCCUGAGUUUUGGCUCCAGCAGCUCUCACCUAGAUUCUCAUAAGGAAAAUGCCCUCAUGCUGCCAGCAGGGGGAGGCGGAAGUGACGGUGUGAAAUAGGCCAGAGGGUCUGCUCUUCACCAGGCCUGCGUUCAGGAGAAGCUGUCUUCCCAGAGCCUACGCUGUUGGGGUUCAAGCAGAGCUUCGUCCACCUGGGGAAGGGGAACAGCCAACCCCAGCCCACUCGAGCCAUCUCGCCCCACCUACGGGAGAGACAACGGAGAGGCACUCGUGGAGGUCACAGCCCAGGGACACAGACUCGCUAGGAGACGGAGACCUGAUCAUAGGCCUGUGGAGCACUCCCCUCCCCCCCCACACCUCACCACCACCCCAGUAACGGCCUGCUUACCAGGGUUCCUUUCCCCCCAUAUACCAUGUCUGGCUUUCACCAACAAUAACAAAAGCUUACAAGGCAUACCAAAGGCAAAAAUUACGGUCUGAAGAGACAGAACCAGACUCAUGUAUGGCAGGGCAUGUUGGAAUUCUCAGACCAGGAAUUUAAAACAACUGUGAUUAAUAUGCUAAGGGUGCUAAUGAAUAAAGUAGACAACAUGCAAGAACAGAUGGGUAACAUAAACAAAGAUAUGGAAAGUCUAAGAAGGAAUGUUUUAAAUGCUACCGGUCAAAUGCACAGUAACAGGCAUGCUCUUGAUGGCUUUAUUAGUAGACUGGACAUGGCUGAGGAAAAAAAUCUCUGAGAUUGAGACUAUGUCAAUAGAAAUUUCCAACAUUAAAAAUCAAAGAAAAAAAAAAGACUGGGGGUGGGGAGAAGAACAGAAUACCCAAGAACUGUGGGACAACUUUAAAAGGGCUAUAUUUGCAUAAUGUAUGGAAUACCAAAUGAAGAAAAAGAGAAAAGAACAGAAGAAAUAUUUGAAGCAGUCAUGACUGAGAACUUCCCCCAAAUCAAUGUCAGAUGCCAAAUCAAACCACUGAUCUAGGAAGCUCAGAGAACACCAAGGAGGGUUAAUGCCCAAAAACCCACACCUAAGCAUAUCAUAUCCAAACUGCAUAAAAAUCAAAGAUGCAAAAAUCUUGCAAGAAGCCAGAGGAAAAAACACCCUGUCUAUAGAGGAUUAAAGGUAGGAAUUAAUUUGACUUCUCAGAAACCAUGCAAGCAAGAAGACAGUGGAGUGAAAUAUUUGAAGUGUGGAGAGAAAAACCCACCUCGAGUUCUGUACCUUGUGAAAUGAUCCUUCAAAAGCGAAGAAGAAAAAAAGACUUUCUCAGACAAACAAAAAUUGAGGAUAUUUGUUGCAAGUAGAUCUGACUUGCAAGAAAUGUUAAAAGAAGUUCUUCAGAGAGAAGUCAAAUCUACAUUUUAAAAAAGGGAGCGCAUUGGAGAAGGAAUAAGUAAAGCCACACCCUAGAACAAGACAAGAUCUACCAACCAGGUGAGCUACGGCUUCUGUGCACUUCAGAACGAUGUCAAUCUCUAGGGGGUUGGGGCGUUUCUGCUGCCUUUUCCUCCAGAAAGCUAAAAGGCAGCUGUCCCCCCUAAUCCGUGGUUUCGCUUUCCGUGGUUUCAGUUGGCUGCCGUCAACUGUGGUCCAAAAACAUUAAGGACAAUUCCAGAAAUGAAGUUUUACAUUGCGUGCUGUUCCGAGUAACGUGAUGAAAUCUCCCGCCCUCCGGCUCCGUCCUGCUGAGCGCGUGAUUCAUCCCUUUGUCCGGCGUGUCUGCGCCGUCUGUGCUACCGGCCGUUAGUCACUCAGUAGCUGUCUCCACUAUCAGAUCGACUGUCACAGUAUCGCUGAGCUUGUUCCCAAGUCACCCUUAUUUUCCUUAAAAAUGGUCCCAAAGGGUAGGAGUAGUGAUGCUGGCUCGGAAUGUGCCAGAUUAAAAGUAGAACUGGGCCCUAGCCAGUUUGGCUCAGUGGAUAGAGCGGCGGCAGGCA
Molecule: long non-coding RNA, 3701 nt
Organism: Myotis lucifugus (little brown bat)
Lineage: Eukaryota; Metazoa; Chordata; Mammalia; Chiroptera; Vespertilionidae
Exons: 3
Source: RefSeq, a predicted model, not a curated record